UACGGCCGUAUCACGUUGAAACACCGGUUCCUGUACAAUCACCGAAGUUAAGCAACGUCGAGCCUGGUAACUACCUAGAUGGGUGACCGCUUCGGAGUACCAGGUGCUGUAA
This 112-nucleotide ribosomal RNA is filed under the name Acanthosepion pharaonis. The record is from RNAcentral. Lineage: Eukaryota; Metazoa; Mollusca; Cephalopoda; Sepiida; Sepiidae.